This is a long non-coding RNA of Zophobas morio, 307 nucleotides long. RefSeq lists it as uncharacterized. Lineage: Eukaryota; Metazoa; Arthropoda; Insecta; Coleoptera; Tenebrionidae. The transcript has 3 exons. The record is from RefSeq and is a predicted model, not a curated record.
GCCGAUUGAUCUUGUAUAUAUCAGUUGGAAAGUCUGAAGUUUAUUGUCAUCAAUAAGAUCACAAACAACAACCAACCUAUUCCUCAUCGCUCAAGGUUAAAAUUUUUGAUCCACCUUUCUGGUACACCCCAAGUUUGCUUUUUGUUGUUUUCCUUACCAUGGUGAAGAAACGGAGAAGACUUAGGAGGUUUUGCUUUCUUAAAUUAAAUGGGGAUAUAUGUUUUUGUUAUCAAGAAAAGAGUAAUGGUUGUGUAUUUAUUUGUAACAAAAUUUUUAAUAUGUAAUUUAUAAUACAGUUUGUUCAAUA